RNAcentral lists this long non-coding RNA (291 nucleotides) under Elaeis guineensis (African oil palm). RNAcentral's name for it is "long non-coding RNA (EGUI_LNC025263)". The record is from RNAcentral. Lineage: Eukaryota; Viridiplantae; Streptophyta; Magnoliopsida; Arecales; Arecaceae.
GUUAAAUAUAAUGCAAGAAGAUUCAAAUAACCUAUUGUUCAUAGGAACAUCAUGCACAAAGGAAAUAGAAGCUGAACAAACUUUGGUGUGGCCGGAUGGCAUAUGAAGUGAAAGAUGACAGGAUAUACUUCCUCUGCAAAAGAAAGCAACCAGUAAUACCCCAUCCAUGGAAUAACUUUAGGGGGUGUUUGGUUCGUAACCGAAAUCGAAAUGGGAAUGAAAAUCAGAAUGGCUUGAAAUCAGAAUCGGAAUGGCUAAAUCCUUUGAAGCAUUUGGUUCAUGACUGGAAUC